This 253-nucleotide ribosomal RNA is filed under the name uncultured bacterium. RNAcentral describes it as "partial 16S ribosomal RNA". It matches the Rfam family "Bacterial small subunit ribosomal RNA", at positions 524 to 776 of the family's 1533-position model. The record is from RNAcentral.
UACGUAGGGUGCGAGCGUUGUCCGGAAUUAUUGGGCGUAAAGAGCUCGUAGGCGGUUUGUCGCGUCUGCCGUGAAAGUCCGGGGCUCAACCCUGGGAUGCCGGUGGAUACUGUCGAGCUAGAGUACGGAAGAGGCGAGUGGAAUUCCCGGUGUAGCGGUGAAAUGCGCAGAUAUCGGGAGGAACACCUAUUGCGAAGGCAGCUCGCUGGGACGUUACUGGCGCUGAGACGCGAAAGCGUGGGGAGCAAACAGG